RNAcentral lists this ribosomal RNA (497 nucleotides) under uncultured bacterium. RNAcentral's name for it is "partial 16S ribosomal RNA". It matches the Rfam family "Bacterial small subunit ribosomal RNA", at positions 28 to 507 of the family's 1533-position model. The record is from RNAcentral.
GAUGAACGCUGGCGGCGUGCCUAAUACAUGCAAGUCGAGCGAACGGACGAGAAGCUUGCUUCUCUGAUGUUAGCGGCGGACGGGUGAGUAACACGUGGAUAACCUACCUAUAAGACUGGGAUAACUUCGGGAAACCGGAGCUAAUACCGGAUGAUAUUUUGAACCGCAUGGUUCAAAAGUGAAAGACGGUCUUGCUGUCACUUAUAGAUGGAUCCGCGCUGCAUUAGCUAGUUGGUAAGGUAACGGCUUACCAAGGCAACGAUGCAUAGCCGACCCGAGAGGGUGAUCGGCCACACCGGAACUGAGACACGGUCCAGACUCCUACGGGAGGCAGCAGUAGGGAAUGUUCCGCUAUGGGCGAAAGCCUGACGGAGCAACGCCGCGUGAGUGAUGAAGGUCUUCGGAUCGUAAAACUCUGUUAUUAGGGAAGAACAUAUGUGUAAGUAACUGUGCACAUCUUGACGGUACCUAAUCAGAAAGCCACGGCCAACUACGUG